This 484-nucleotide ribosomal RNA is filed under the name uncultured bacterium. RNAcentral's name for it is "partial 16S ribosomal RNA". It matches the Rfam family "Bacterial small subunit ribosomal RNA", at positions 30 to 507 of the family's 1533-position model. The record is from RNAcentral.
AUUGAACGCUGGCGGCAGGCCUAACACAUGCAAGUCGAGCGGAUGAAGGGAGCUUGCUUCUGGAUUCAGCGGCGGACGGGUGAGUAAUGCCUAGGAAUCUGCCUGGUAGUGGGGGAUAACGUCCGGAAACGGGCGCUAAUACCGCAUACGUCCUGAGGGAGAAAGUGGGGGAUCUUCGGACCUCACGCUAUCAGAUGAGCCUAGGUCGGAUUAGCUAGUUGGUGGGGUAAAGGCCUACCAAGGCGACGAUCCGUAACUGGUCUGAGAGGAUGAUCAGUCACACUGGAACUGAGACACGGUCCAGACUACUACGGGAGGCAGCAGUGGGGAAUAUUGGACAAUGGGCGAAAGCCUGAUCCAGCCAUGCCGCGUGUGUGAAGAAGGUCUUCGGAUUGUAAAGCACUUUAAGUUGGGAGGAAGGGCAGUAAGUUAAUACCUUGCUGUUUUGACGUUACCAACAGAAUAAGCACCGGCUAACUUCGUG